This 433-nucleotide long non-coding RNA is filed under the name Elaeis guineensis (African oil palm). RNAcentral describes it as "long non-coding RNA (EGUI_LNC076490)". The record is from RNAcentral. Lineage: Eukaryota; Viridiplantae; Streptophyta; Magnoliopsida; Arecales; Arecaceae.
CCUACAAGCCUAUAAGGUCACUGAGAAAGAAAUAAAUUCCAAUAGACAACCUAGAAUCCUACUGGACCUAUGUUAUCCGAUUAGAUCCGUCCAACCGUCUAGAAUUAGAUUCUCGGCUAAUAAUUUUACAAUUGACCCUCAAACAAUUAACAUGCAUCCUACAUUCACUGAAAUUGAAGAUGCAUAUAUUUAUUCAAGGGAGUUUGAAGACACUAGAAUUACAACUUUGAUCAAUAGAAUUGAAGCCUUAGAAUUCGAAAGACAUAUUUAAUUUAACCAAGUGCUAGCACCCAUGUGCAUUGAAUGUGAUGCAUCAGAUCAUAUUGUAGAGGAGUGUCCUUAUUUGAUGAACCCAACCCAAACUGAGUUCAUAUAGGAGAGUGCAUUCAAUAAAAGCUACAUAAAUGAACCUUAUGCAUCAAUCUAUAAUCCA